RNAcentral lists this non-coding RNA (25 nucleotides) under Mus musculus (house mouse). The record is from RNAcentral. Lineage: Eukaryota; Metazoa; Chordata; Mammalia; Rodentia; Muridae.
UACUGCGGCUGAACGUCAUUGUUCA